UCUUGAAGGUGGUGCUGGGGGACAUCUACUCGACUCCUUUGUCUCUGGGAUCCUGCAAGGCGCUCUCAUGCUGUUUGUCAUCCACAUGAAACCGCUGGAAGAGAUCAUCAUGAGUAAGCUGGGAGGUAAUUACACCCAUGGCUGAAGUGUGUGGAAUGAUUUACGUGAGUCCGAAGACCAGCAUGAGAAAUAUUAACAGAAAGAAAACACCUGUUUGGAAACCAAUUAUGAACUGCAGAGAACUAUCAGUCCUAAUUAAUGAAUAGCUACAGGAUUCUCAUUUAAGCAAAAUCAGCUUGGGAUGUAAAUGAUGCAAUCAAGUCCUGAUUCAUUCUGCCAUGCAACGUAAAGAAGUACAAUUCAAUUCAAAUCAAACCCUCUUGUAGAAUUUGCAUGUUUGAAAGGUUCUGUGUCUGCUGUUGCA
This is a long non-coding RNA of Hemicordylus capensis (graceful crag lizard), 424 nucleotides long. RefSeq lists it as uncharacterized. NCBI's taxonomy places the organism in Eukaryota, Metazoa, Chordata, Lepidosauria, Squamata, Cordylidae. The record is from RefSeq and is a predicted model, not a curated record. The transcript has 3 exons.